UCAUUAUUUUAGGAUAGCACCAGUGCAGUUCACAAAAAUCACCACAGGAGGGCGACAUGUUUAAAAUCAUUCAAAUAGAUUUAAAGUUGUGUAACACCAAAAUCACCACACGCGGACGAAUAUUUUAAAAUCAAUAGAUUUGCAGUGGUGUAAUUCAGAAAUAUCUCCACAGGAGAGCGAACAGUUUAAUUCAUUCAAUCAGAUUUGAAGUUGUGUGACACCUAAAUCACCACAAGAGGGCGAAUAAUUUAAAUUCAUUAGAUUUGCAAAGGUGUAAUUCAUUAAUAUCUCCACACGAGGGCGAACUUUUAACUUUACAUUAGAAUGGCAGCAGCGCAGUUCACAAACAUCACCACAAGACGGCGAAUAUUUAAAAUUCAUUAGAUUUGCAAAGGUGUAAUUCAGGGAAAUCUCCACAGGAGGAUACACUCACAAACAUUUUAUGAUUUUUAUUUAUGAUAUUGUUAGAUGAGAUGUGCGUCGACUCCACAGGAUCAGUGAAGUGUUGUGGACUGUUAGCCUGUUGAACAGAAGCAGAGACGUGUGGCCAGACACUGACUGUAAUGAUGAUGAUCAUCUGCUGCUGCACAGACUCAAGCUUCAAAUAUAACCCCUGCUGGACACGGCUCCGGAAGCUCCAGGGGGAGAUCGAACUGGUAUCCCCCCUUCUUCAAGCACGCCUCACACUCAUAGGAAGGUUGGGAUCGAACCAACAACUCCUGAGGUCGUGGGCCAGUACUCUUACCACAGAGCCACAGAUCUCCUAUUUGAACAACUGAUAUUUGACUGCUGAACUGUGUGUGAGAGCUGUCAUUGGUCAAUAAAACAAAUCUGAGAUUUAAA
Danio aesculapii is the source of this 843-nucleotide long non-coding RNA. RefSeq lists it as uncharacterized. NCBI's taxonomy places the organism in Eukaryota, Metazoa, Chordata, Actinopteri, Cypriniformes, Danionidae. The transcript has 2 exons. The record is from RefSeq and is a predicted model, not a curated record.